GGUAGCAUAAUCAUUAGUUUUUUAAUUGAAAGCUGGUAUGAAUGGUUGGACGAGAUAUUAACUGUUUCAUAAAAAUUUAAUUUAAAAUUUUAUUUUUUAGUUAAAAAGCUAAAAUAGAUUUAAAAGACGAGAAGACCCUAUAAAUCUUUAUAUUUAAAGUUAUUUAUAUUUUAUAGAUUUUUUUAUUAUUAAUAAUUUAUAAUAUUUUAUUGGGGUGAUAUUAAAAUUUAAUAAACUUUUAAUUAUUUAAAACAUUAAUUUAUGAAUUAUUGAUCCAUUAUUAAUGAUUAAAAAUUUAAGUUACUUUAGGGAUAACAGCGUAAUUUUUUUGGAAAGUUCAUAUUUAUAAAAAAGAUUGCGACCUCGAUGUUGGAUUAAGAUAUAUUUUUAGGUGCAGUAGCUUAAAGGUUAAGUCUGUUCGACUUUUA
This 428-nucleotide ribosomal RNA is filed under the name Helina celsa. RNAcentral's name for it is "partial 16S ribosomal RNA". The stretch from base 311 to 428 matches the Rfam family "Archaeal large subunit ribosomal RNA", at positions 2542 to 2659 of the family's 2987-position model. The record is from RNAcentral. Lineage: Eukaryota; Metazoa; Arthropoda; Insecta; Diptera; Muscidae.